RNAcentral lists this ribosomal RNA (776 nucleotides) under uncultured Neocallimastigales. RNAcentral describes it as "partial large subunit ribosomal RNA". It matches the Rfam family "Eukaryotic large subunit ribosomal RNA", at positions 23 to 645 of the family's 3401-position model. Lineage: Eukaryota; Fungi; Neocallimastigomycota; Neocallimastigomycetes; Neocallimastigales. The record is from RNAcentral.
GAGAGAGACAUGCGCGCAUAUCAAUAAGCGGAGGAAAAGAAACUAACAAGGAUUCCCUUAGUAACGGCGAGUGAAGCGGGAAGAGCUCAAAUUUGAAAUCUUCAAGGUUUUACCUUGACGAAUUGUAGUUUAAAGAAGUGUUUUCUGCUGAAGUUUUGGUAAAAGUUCUUUGGAAUAGGACAUCAUAGAGGGUGAGAAUCCCGUAUUUGACCAUUAUUUUCAGCUUUGUGAUACACUUUCAAAGAGUCGGAUUGUUUGGGAAUGCAGUCCAAAAUGGGUGGUAAAUUUCAUCUAAAGCUAAAUAUUGGCGAGAGACCGAUAGCGAACAAGUACCGUGAGGGAAAGAUGAAAAGAACUUUGAAAAGAGAGUUAAACAGUACGUGAAAUUGUCAAAAGGGAAGCGUUUGACACCAGUGUUGUUUUCUCGAAAAUCAAUUAAAAAUGGCUCGAUUUUGUAUUGCUGAGACCUUAAAAGCUCACUGUACAUUUUUUCGUGUCUUUUUUAAUGCACUUUUCGUUUAACAAGUCAACAUCAGUUUCUUUUGUUGUAAAAGGGUCAUUGGAAGGUGGCUUUCUUUUCGGAGAAAGUGUUUAUAGCCUUUGGCCUCUGCAAUCGGAAGAGACUGAGGUCUGCAGCGUAGACUCUUCGGGGUUAGAUACAUUUGUGCUAAGUUAUAGCUUUUUAUAGACAACUUGUUGACUAUAUUUAGUCUUGUAGGCUUACUCGCUUAUGCUAUUUUACCUACGCUUAGGAUGUUGAAGUCAUCGUAUCGCGC